Molecule: long non-coding RNA, 681 nt
Filed under: Nicotiana benthamiana
Lineage: Eukaryota; Viridiplantae; Streptophyta; Magnoliopsida; Solanales; Solanaceae
Description: long non-coding RNA (NBEN_LNC009618)
Source: RNAcentral
GGAACUGGAGCUAAACUAUCAAAUUCUGCCCACAACUGUCUCAACCUUGAGAAAUAGGAAGAAGUUGAGUCAGUACCCUGGUUGAUUGUUGCAAUGUUCUUAUGAAUCUGAAAUAUUCUGGAGAGAUCAGCCUUGUCAAACCUCUCUCUUAAAUCAUUCCACACAGCACUUGCAUUUGAGGAAAAAAUAUACCACUGAGCAACUCUAGUGAUACACAUUUCAUAAUCCAUGACAACAAUAUGGCAUUGCAUAUAUCCCACAGAUCUACUAGGUUUGGACCGAAUAUUUCUCGCCUACAAUUGCCAUCGAUAAACCCUAACUUGUUUCUUCCUAAAAUAGCAAUUCGCAUUGCCCGGCUACACACCGAGUAAUUUUCUGGACCUCUCAGUUGUAGAGAGAUCAGAAUUGUACCAGAAUUAUUAUUAGAAUUCAAAAACAAUGACUUAGCUUUUCAGGAGUCUCAUUAUCGACUUUCUCAACUUCCGACAUUGUUGAGCUUCAACCUUUGAGCUAGAGAUUGAGCUUGUGUAAUUGAGAAACUUGAGCUUGAAUUUUGUAAUUAGACUGGAAAUCUUCGAUCUAGAUCUGAGUGGUAGGCUCUGAUACCAUGUCAAGUUUAUCAGAGAGGUAAGACUUGAAGAAGAAGAAGAACAUGCAGAGAAGAAUUUGGAGAGAAGAAAG